This 310-nucleotide ribosomal RNA is filed under the name uncultured soil bacterium. RNAcentral's name for it is "bacterial SSU rRNA". It matches the Rfam family "Bacterial small subunit ribosomal RNA", at positions 26 to 335 of the family's 1533-position model. The record is from RNAcentral.
AGAUUGAACGCUGGCGGCAGGCCUAACACAUGCAAGUCGAGCGGCAGCACGGGUACUUGUACCUGGUGGCGAGCGGCGGACGGGUGAGUAAUGCCUAGGAAUCUGCCUGGUAGUGGGGGAUAACGCUCGGAAACGGACGCUAAUACCGCAUACGUCCUACGGGAGAAAGCGAGGGGACCUUCGGGCCUUGCGCUAUCAGAUGAGCCUAGGUCGGAUUAGCUAGUUGGUGAGGUAAUGGCUCACCAAGGCGACGAUCCGUAACUGGUCUGAGAGGAUGAUCAGUCACACUGGAACUGAGACACGGUCCAAG